GGCAACGGUCGUCCCGCGCGCGCGCUCUCCGCAGUCGACGGUCGUCCCUCGCACGCGCGCGCGCUCUUUGCCGACCGUCGUCCGCCGCCUCACCGAUCCCUUUGCCACCGACUCGCGCGAGUCAGCUCCGGCGAGGCGAAUAAUAUUAUUGUCAUCGCAGCCGCCACCGCUCCCCCGUCAGUCGUCACGGCCAUCGUACAACGUACACACAUUGCACCGACCGACGGCCGUCGUCCCGUCCCGUCGUACGCUACACGAUCGCAACGCGGAACCAGCAACGCUGCUCCAUCCCUCCCGCCCGCCGACCAGCACCGACCGACAGCCAGUCAGCCACACGACCGUCCCCCGCCCGACGCGUUUGUCCGUCGUGUCCUUAAUGAACGCAGUCACCAUACACGGGCGUCAUAGAUGUUAAUUGUCCUGUUAAAACCGAUAGGGAUACUAUGUUCCUACAUAUUUAAAGCCAUGGGACAAAGCCUGGUCAUCGGUUCGGAUCGGUCAGCCAGACGAAAGAAACAAAAAGGCGAUGGCAGUGUGCCCGUCGACACGCCGACCGUGUCGCUCACGGCUGCUUCCAUGACCGACCUAGACAAUAUUACUCAGCACCAGAUAGUCUACAAAAAAAUGGAACAACUGAUGGACCGAAUGCAGGACGAAAACACCGGCAUCCCUGUGCGUACUGUCAACAAGUUCAGAGCUAAAGUACCUUCUGUGUUUACCGGUACUGAUUUGAUAUUGUGGAUAAUGAAGAACGUGGAUGUUGAUGAUCAAGUUGAAGCAUUAUACUUUGCAAAUCUUUUGUCAUCUCAUGGUUACUUGUUCCCAAUCGAUGAUCAUUUUCUGAAUGUGAAGAAUGAUGGAUCUUAUUAUCGUUUUCAAACUCCUUAUUACUGGCCAUCAAAUAUAUUUGACCCUGAAAAUACUGAUUACGCUGUAUAUCUGUGUAAAAGGACAAUGCAAAACAAAACGCGUUUAGAAUUGGCUGAUUAUGAAGCUGAAAACUUAGCAAAACUCCAAAAAGUUUUAUCUCGAAAAUGGGAAUUUGUAUUUUUACAAGCAGAGGCCCAAAGUAAAGUAGAUAAAAAACGAGAUCGCAUGGAAAGAAAAAUAUUAGAUAGUCAAGAACGUGCAUUUUGGGACGUACAUAGACCAAUGCCUGGUACUAUAAUAACAACAGAAAUUGACUAUAGGAAAUUAAAGAGGUAUAAAGAAUUAUCUACUUUGGCAAAUGGAGACAUUAACAACUUACUACCUAUACAGCUCCCAGUAAAAACUAACAUUGGUAAACCUACUAUUGAAUCUAUAAAAAAAGACAUAACUGCAAUGCGGCUUAAGCUUGAUCGCCGUAAUAUAAAACUAUCAAAAAUUGCAGACACAUACAUUACCUAUUUUGAACAGUAUGCAGAAUAUGAUCCAUUUUUUACACCUCCAGAAUUUAGCAACCCUUGGUUAUUAGAUAAUGUUGAAGUAUGGGAUUGUGACAAGCAUUCUUCUCUGUUUUCGUAUAGGAAAGAAGUUACAGUGCGUAGAAUAAAACGAUGGGCAUUUAGUUUAAAAGAACUUCUAGCUGAUCCUGCUGGAAAGGAACAUUUUACAAAAUUCCUGGAAAAAGAAUUUAGUUGUGAAAAUUUAAAAUUUUGGGAAGCAGUACAGAAUCUUAAGAAAUUGCCACAACGUGAAGUGCCUCAAGCUGCUGAAGAAAUCUGGGCAGAGUAUCUAAGUGGUGAUUCACUAAACAUUGACUCUCAGUCAAGAGAAUUAAGCCGAAAGAACAUGUCUGCUCCUGAUAGAUGGGCAUUUGAUAUUGCUGCCGUAUGUAAUCGCACAUUUUCAUUAUGUUCAUGUUUACCAUUUAAUGAAGAGUGAUAGCUACCAGAGGUAUAUAAGAUCAGAAAUGUAUAAAGAAUAUUUAAAUACUUCAAAGAAAAAGACUUCCAUGAAAGGCAUUAGGUCUAUAGUAUCAUUUUCUGGAAAAAGAGAUAUUUGCCCAUCGUGAUGGUAUGCGUACUUAAAUUAUUCAAAGUACCUAUUCAAUACAGUUCAAAUAUUUGAAACAUUAUUUACUUUUUUUAUUUAUAAAUUAUAAGCAAUUAAAUUUAAUUUUUAUAAUAUAGGUGGUUAAAUUAUUAUUUUUUAUACAUGUAUUAUUUAUAGGCAUUUACAAUUUUUUGGUUCUAUUAUUACAAAUUAUUAUAAAUAAUUAUUGUUGUGAAAAUGUUAACUAUUAAGUUAUAAUUGUAUGUUUGAGGCAAUUUAUGUUCCUAUAAAAUACUGGUGACAUUUUUUUAUACAUAUAUUUUUGUUGUACAACUGUUACAAAUUGUAAUAAAUAUUAUAUAUUUAUUGUUUUAAAUUGUAUAAAUAUUUGUUUGAACUUUCUUUUACUAUGAAAUUUGUGUAGGUACUCAUGAUAAUAUUGUUGUUGUUUAGUCAAAUUUAAAUUAUAAUUAAUGUGUUGAAUUGUAUAAAUUUUAGAUCUACUUAAACCUUGGUAAUUAAGCAGAAGUCCAUUAAAAGUUAAACAUGUUUUUAUUAAGCAUUAUGUUUAAUUUGUUGAAAAUAAUUAUGUUCAUUUUAUUUAUUUUUUACUGUACUUAAGUGUAUUUAUGAUAACCAAACCACACCACAAUGGUCAAUAAUACAAAAUAACAGUUCAAAAGUUAUUAAAUUAUAUUAAUACAUCAUAUUAUAUAAUAUACUAUGUACAUAAUAAAAUGUUCAUCGAUCUAGUAUAAUAGGUACGUCAUAAACAGUGCAGAAUAAACCGACAGUGCAAAUGGUGCAACUCACUGGGAUCCCCAAUAUUAUGGAUAUCAAAGUACCAUAUUAAAUUACACUAACAUAACAUAGUACCUAAUGUAAUGCAGGUGACUAGAUAUGGUAUAGAACUAUAAUAUAAGAAUUAUUUGAAUGGUUAAAUAUUUAUUUUAUAUUUUAUAUAUUGUAAUUAAUAAUAAAUUUGUUUUUAACUAAAAUAUGUAA
This is an RNA transcript of Rhopalosiphum padi (bird cherry-oat aphid), 2982 nucleotides long. It is a transcript of the gene named regulator of G-protein signaling 7-like, with no coding region annotated. NCBI's taxonomy places the organism in Eukaryota, Metazoa, Arthropoda, Insecta, Hemiptera, Aphididae. The record is from RefSeq and is a predicted model, not a curated record. The transcript has 13 exons.